Molecule: ribosomal RNA, 415 nt
Filed under: uncultured crenarchaeote
Lineage: Archaea; Thermoproteati; Thermoproteota
Description: partial 16S ribosomal RNA
Rfam family: Archaeal small subunit ribosomal RNA
Source: RNAcentral
GUGCAGCAGUCGCGAAAACUUUGCAAUACACGAAAGUGUGACAGGGCCAUCCCGAGUGCCGUCCGCUGAGGAUGGCUUUUACCCAGUCUAGAAAGCUGGGGGAAUAAGGAGAGGGCAAGUCUGGUGUCAGCCGCCGCGGUAAUACCAGCUCUCCGAGUGGUGGGGAUGUUUAUUGGGCCUAAAGCAUCCGUAGCUGGCUGGGCAAGUCCCCUGUUAAAUCCACCGAUUUAAUCGUUGGUUUGCGGGGGAUACUGCUCGGCUAGGGGACGGGAGAGGCUGACGGUAUUCCCGGGGUAGGGGUGAAAUCCUAUAAUCCCGGGAAGACCACCAGUGGCGAAGGCUGUCGGCUAGAACGCGCCCGACGGUGAGGGAUGAAAGCUGGGGGAGCGAACCGGAUUAGAUACCCGGGUAGUCC